GUACACGCUGUGACUAGCAUAUCAAUAAGCGGAGGAAAAGAAACUAACAAGGAUUCCCCUAGUAACGGCGAGUGAAGCGGGAAGAGCUCAAAUUUGAAAUCUUAAAGGGAUUCCCUUACGAAUUGUAGUUUAAAGAAGUGUUUUCUGUUGAGGUUUUGGUAAAAGUUCUUUGGAAUAGGACAUCAUAGAGGGUGAGAAUCCCGUAUUUGACCUUUACUUUCAACUUUGUGAUACACUUUCAAAGAGUCGGAUUGUUUGGGAAUGCAGUCCAAAUGGGUGGUAAAUUUCAUCUAAAGCUAAAUAUUGGCGAGAGACCGAUAGCGAACAAGUACCGUGAGGGAAAGAUGAAAAGAACUUUGAAAAGAGAGUUAAACAGUACGUGAAAUUGUCAAAAGGGAAGCGUUUGACACCAGUGUUGUUUUUCUGAAAAUCAAUUAAAGAACUGUUUAUGCUAAGUUGUUUAGACUUUAUCAGCUAACUGUUUAGUUUUGAGCUUUUCUUUAAUGCACUUUUCAGUUAACAAGUCAACAUCAAUUUCUUUUGCUGUAAAAAAGCUUGAGGAAGGUGGCUUGAGAUUCGUCUUAAGUGUUUAUAGCCUCUUGCCUAUGCAGUCGGAGAGAUUGAGGUCUGCAGCGUAGAUCUUUCGGGGCUAAAUGCAUUUGUGCUAAGUUAUAGCAUUUUAUAGACAACUUGUUGACUAUGAUUUGUCUUGUAGCUUACUCGCUUAUGUUAUUUUACCUACGCUUAGGAUGUUGAAGAUGUAGCACAUCAU
RNAcentral lists this ribosomal RNA (772 nucleotides) under uncultured Neocallimastigales. Its description in RNAcentral is "partial large subunit ribosomal RNA". It matches the Rfam family "Eukaryotic large subunit ribosomal RNA", at positions 22 to 635 of the family's 3401-position model. Lineage: Eukaryota; Fungi; Neocallimastigomycota; Neocallimastigomycetes; Neocallimastigales. The record is from RNAcentral.